AUCACUUCUCAGCCUUUUGGCUAAGAUCAAGUAUAGUAUCUGUUCUUAUCAGUUGAAAACGUUUUUAAGUUAGGGUGGGCAUAAAUUUUUAUUAAGUCCUUCUUACAUGUUAAUAAAAAUGUCCAUACAUAGUUAGUAAUGAAAGACUA
Small nuclear RNA from Heterocephalus glaber (naked mole-rat), 149 nucleotides. Its record names the gene U2. It matches the Rfam family "U2 spliceosomal RNA". Rfam says of the family: U2 is a small nuclear RNA (snRNA) component of the spliceosome (involved in pre-mRNA splicing). NCBI's taxonomy places the organism in Eukaryota, Metazoa, Chordata, Mammalia, Rodentia, Bathyergidae. The record is from Ensembl.